The submitters of this non-coding RNA (61 nucleotides) gave its source as unclassified sequences. The record is from Rfam.
CCUGUGGAGUGUCAUACAAACGAUGGUAGCUUUGGCAAAAUCGGAUACGAUGAAACAGGAA